GAUGAACGCUAGCGGCAGGCCUAAUACAUGCAAGUCGAACGGUAAAUAUUUAGCAAUAGAUAUGAGAGUGACGUACGGGUGCGUAACACGUAUGCAACCUACCCUUUACAGGCGGAUAGCUCGGGGAAACUCGAAUUAACCCGCCGUAAUAUAAUUGAAUGGCAUCAUUUGAUUAUUAAAUCUACGGAGGUAAAGGAUGGGCAUGCGUCUGAUUAGUUAGUUGGCGGGGUAACGGCCCACCAAGACGAUGAUCAGUAGGGGAACUGAGAGGUUGAUCCCCCCAACUGGCACUGAGAUACGGGCCAGACUCCUACGGGAGGCAGC
Molecule: ribosomal RNA, 324 nt
Filed under: uncultured bacterium
Lineage: Bacteria
Description: bacterial SSU rRNA
Rfam family: Bacterial small subunit ribosomal RNA
Source: RNAcentral